Molecule: non-coding RNA, 2146 nt
Organism: Meleagris gallopavo (turkey)
Lineage: Eukaryota; Metazoa; Chordata; Aves; Galliformes; Phasianidae
Source: RefSeq, a predicted model, not a curated record
UUAUUUUACUAUCUACUUGUCAGAAGAAUAAAAGCUAAACAUACUAGAAGAAAUCCAACAUACCAAAAAAGAAAACAACCUGCUCAGGAGUUGCAGCUCUCUCUUAAAAUGAGAGCUGAUAGGAGAAAUAUAGGAAUGGUACCUCCUCUUCAAACCUGCAAGAUCUAAAUGCUUUUAGAUAUGUGGUUGUACAAUUCCUCCUGUUGAUUCUCUGAUUCUCUGCCAGUUUUAAACCUCACAAUCUCUGUCUUUGCUUCCCAAGCUUUUCUUCUUUAUGAGAGUGUUAACUUUCUUCUUCCUUUUUUUUUUUCUAUUGAAAUCUGUGGGAGAGUAAGUGCAGGAUCUGGUUCCUAAAGCUGCUCCAUCACGUUGCCAAGUAACCACAGAAGGAAUAUGUUUUGUUUUCCAUGGAGGGCAGGAAGGAUCAGAGUGCUUGUGUGAAAGAUCACAGAGCCUAAGGAAAUCUGUGAUCAGUGAGGAGAGUGAAACCAGCAUGAUCUUUCCACUUAGAGAUAUUCUGUACCGUAAGUUAAGUACUAACAACAUGAACAAGUCUGCAAUCAAAAACAAAGCAAAAAAAGCCCUGCAGCAUUCCUGGUAUUAGCAAAUGGCAUCAUAAUUUCAUCAUCAUGAACUGUAUUUGCUAUAGUCUGAGCUUAUUCUGGGAUGUUUGACAGCAAAACUUGAUAGAGAUCUGUGAAGGUCAACAAACUGGCAUCAGUUUAAAUCAGAUGAUAAUCUGCUCAUUUAUUUGUAUGAAUGUAAAAUGAUGAUUACAGGGAAAGGAUAACCAAGAAAAGGGCUUUCAUCAGAAGGAGAAAUUUGAAUAGAAGGUUCCUUGGGGUUUGGGAUGGUUUGAGAGGAGUUUCUAUGUUCAGUUUUAGACUGCCCAAAAGAAGGCAACUUUAAGAGUUUAGGCACUUUAAGUGCUUAGGCACUUUUCUCAAACGCUUGCUCUGUACUACAUUUAUUUAUAAUUCUUUUACAUUUACUGUAAUUAAGUCUUUAUUGAUUUGACAUAAACCAACAGCUGCAUUUCACUAUGGAAAUCAACUGAAAAAUAAAUGUCAUCUACUAAGCAUGGACAAUACACUUGAGAAUGCAGAUGACAUGUAUUAAAUUCUCUUGUCAUUUUUGCACCUCUUCAAGCACAGUAUCAAUUAUAUACAUACUUGUAGCCAGAGCUUCUACAUGGUAAGCUGCCUAUAAAGUCUUUGCUGUAUAAUAAACUAUAAACAAUCUGCUCCACUUAGAUCAGUUUUAAAUAGAGUUUUGUAUUAAGAGAAAUCUUUGAUGUGGAAAUUAUUUUUUCACUUGAAAUUCAUCCUCUUAACAUGAUUGGCUUGGCCUUUGGAGGCAAUAUUUUUGUACUUUAUUUAGAAGAUAUAUUCACUGAAAUUCAUAAAUGGCAAAAUAACUACUUCUGAGCAGUACUAUGUUUUACUAAUACAGAUGCUGGAGCUGCAGAAGGCCCAAGAACACUCUCAAAAUUAUCUCACUUUCAGGUACAGGGCUAACUAUGCUAUCUGCCCCCUUGGGCUUUGGAUGCAAGCAAGCAUAGACCAACACCUUCAAGAAAGGGAUCAGCGAAUAUAAGGACAAUGGUUAUGACCAAAUAACAGAAUAGCUGACAUUUGAAGAGACCUCUGGAGAUAUCUACUCCAACUCCCUACUCAAGUAAGGAUGCCUGCAGCAUGUUGCCAAGGAUCACAUCCUGUUGGCUCUUGAAGAAAUACAAGGAAAGAGACUCCAACAACCUCUCUGGGCACCAGAACCUCUAUGGGCAAAUCAAAUUAUCAGUGACCUAGGAAGGGAAAACUAAGGAAAAAUUGGGUUGUUGGUCAGAUGUGACCCAGGGCACAAUGAUUUUAUGACAUUCUAUGUACUGUUCCAUUUAAGUGGGUGAGGAAGUGUUUUAUACAUGGGUAAAGGGAAACCCUUUUCACACGAGCAGGGUCGGAAACUGGUGGUUCCUGAGGCUGGAGUUCCCAAGGUUAUUUUUCAGAUGACAUAAUGUAUUUAUCAAGUCAGUUAUUUGUCAGAUGGUUAAAAGAGUUAUCUGGAUGCCAUAUAAUAGAUAUUACUUGAAUAAUGUGAAAGUUCAGUCUUUAAUUUUAUGUUUUAAAGAAAAGUUAAUAAAAAAAUC